UGUCAUUCUGCCAACACAAUGGUGAUACCUU
Molecule: non-coding RNA, 31 nt
Filed under: Rattus norvegicus (Norway rat)
Lineage: Eukaryota; Metazoa; Chordata; Mammalia; Rodentia; Muridae
Source: RNAcentral